AUUCCUGUAAUCAGCCAAAACACUCUAGGGUC
This 32-nucleotide non-coding RNA is filed under the name Homo sapiens (human). Lineage: Eukaryota; Metazoa; Chordata; Mammalia; Primates; Hominidae. The record is from RNAcentral.